Monopterus albus (swamp eel) is the source of this 407-nucleotide long non-coding RNA. RefSeq lists it as uncharacterized. The record is from RefSeq and is a predicted model, not a curated record. Lineage: Eukaryota; Metazoa; Chordata; Actinopteri; Synbranchiformes; Synbranchidae. The transcript has 2 exons.
CCCUGAAUCACAAAUGAGAUCAGGUGGGUGAUUCAUACCUCUCUCAUGGAUGCAACAAAACAAGCUGUUCAUCUAUCUGAUGUGAGUCACAAAUUAUAUAUCAGGUUUGUUUAGUGUCAGUUUUAACCUGCAGCACACAAGUUGCCAGAAGAGUUCAGCAAAGGACACGGAUGCAGAGCAAAUUUCCGGCAUCACUUGGGUGUAUGUGGAGGCACUCCUGCUUCAGAGACAAGACGCAGUGCACUUAAUAAGACAGAAUCCAUGAGGUAGGAAACACACUUAUUCAUCCACAGACAGGAAUCUCAGUUCAGAGGCAGAGUGACUCCAACAAUCCAGAGAGGCAGAAAAAUAACACAUCUCACGGUCUCUACAAAAGGCAGGGCAGCGGCGUCUUCAGAAGUCAAAAA